AUUGAACGCUGGCGGCAGGCUUAACACAUGCAAGUCGAGCGAGCGGCGGACGGGUGAGUAAUGUCUGGGAAACUGCCUGAUGGAGGGGGCUAACUACUGGAAACGGUAGCUAAUACCGCAUACCAUCAGAUGUACCCAGAGGGGAUUAGCUAGUAGGUGGGGUAAUGGCUCACAUGGGCGACGAUCCCUAGCUGGUCUGAGAGGAUGACCAGCCACGCUGGAACUGAGAAACGGUCCAGCCUCCUACGGGAGGCAGCAGUGGGGAAGAUUGCACAAGGGGCGCAAGCCUGAUGCAGACAUGCCGCGUGUGUGAAGAAGGCCUUCGGGUUGUAAAGCACUUUCAGCGAGGAGGCGUUACUCGCAGAAGAAGCACCGGCUAACUCCGUGCCAGCAGCCGCGGUAAUUC
RNAcentral lists this ribosomal RNA (406 nucleotides) under uncultured bacterium. RNAcentral's name for it is "partial 16S ribosomal RNA". It matches the Rfam family "Bacterial small subunit ribosomal RNA", at positions 30 to 526 of the family's 1533-position model. The record is from RNAcentral.